This is a long non-coding RNA of Salvia splendens (bonfire salvia), 637 nucleotides long. RefSeq lists it as uncharacterized. NCBI's taxonomy places the organism in Eukaryota, Viridiplantae, Streptophyta, Magnoliopsida, Lamiales, Lamiaceae. The transcript has 3 exons. The record is from RefSeq and is a predicted model, not a curated record.
UGGGUCAUAAUUAGUACCAUGAUUUUCAGAACUUUGGAGGCUUCAGAAAAAUAUAAAGAACUUUGAUGGCUUAAGAAAAAAAAAAAGUUCUAAAUUGAGAAAUUGAAGUCCUAGGAUUUGUAAUCGUAUCCAACUGGGCGCCCUGAUUGGAGUCAGAUCACGGAGAUACUGUCGAAGGAGAACGAUUUAGGAGAAAAAGAAGCGAAGGAAAAGAGGGAAAAGAAGCUAAAAGCCAAGAAAAAUAAGAUGAAAGUUGAUGGUAGCAGCAGUAAGAAGAAGGGAGGGAGUGGAUUUCAAGUAGGAAAGAAAAAGUUGAAAACGAGGAUGACACCAUUGGCCAAAGCUAAAGCUGCCCAGGCGAUGGAGGUCGACGAGUAAGGUUACUGUGGGAAUUGAAUUAAAUGCAGCAGAAAAUAGGAAAUUUGUCGAAUCUCAUAGAUUGUAGCUUAGUAACUUGGAAUGUAUGCACACUUCCUUCAUAUAUCAUUGAUGCCUUUUGUGUUCUUUAAUUUUGGAUUGUCCCACUUAUGUGGGAAGUGGGAACUUUGUGUAGAUAUUCUUGGUUGUCCCAUCCAUAGUUGAGGGAACUCUACAAAAAGGAUUAUGACCUGUAGUUGACUGUGAGAAUCUGGUUGAA